Molecule: ribosomal RNA, 380 nt
Filed under: Clostridioides difficile
Lineage: Bacteria; Bacillati; Bacillota; Clostridia; Peptostreptococcales; Peptostreptococcaceae
Description: bacterial LSU rRNA
Rfam family: Bacterial large subunit ribosomal RNA
Source: RNAcentral
UCAGGUGGCCGCAGAGAAUAGGCCCAAGCGACUGUUUACCAAAAACAUAGGUUUCUGCUAAGUCGCAAGACGAUGUAUAGGAGCUGACGCCUGCCCGGUGCUGGAAGGUUAAGGGGAUCUGUUAGAGCAAUCGAAGCAGUGAACUUAAGCCCCAGUAAACGGCGGCCGUAACUAUAACGGUCCUAAGGUAGCGAAAUUCCUUGUCGGGUAAGUUCCGACCCGAACGAAAGGCGUAACGAUUUGGGCACUGUCUCAACAACAGACUCGGUGAAAUUGUAAUUCCGGUGAAGAUGCCGGAUACCUGCGACAGGACGGAAAGACCCCAUGGAGCUUUACUGUAGCUUGACAUUGGGUCUUGGUACUACAUGUACAGGAUAGGU